AAAUUCCCCUUUUAACAAAGCAUUGUAUUAUAUUUAGAAUCUAAAAUUGCCCUA
Molecule: transfer RNA, 54 nt
Filed under: Loxosceles amazonica
Lineage: Eukaryota; Metazoa; Arthropoda; Arachnida; Araneae; Sicariidae
Description: tRNA-Leu
Source: RNAcentral